Molecule: ribosomal RNA, 250 nt
Filed under: uncultured bacterium
Lineage: Bacteria
Description: partial 16S ribosomal RNA
Rfam family: Bacterial small subunit ribosomal RNA
Source: RNAcentral
UACAGAGGGUGCGAACGUUGCUCGGAAUUACUGGGCGUAAAGCGCGUGUAGGCGGAACGAUAAGUCGGAAGUGAAAUCCCCGGGCUCAACCCGGGAACUGCUUUCGAAACUGCCGUUCUCGAGUACCGGAGAGGGUGGCGGAAUUCCUGGUGUAGAGGUGAAAUUCGUAGAUAUCAGGAGGAACACCGGUGGCGAAGGCGGCCACCUGGACGGUUAUUGACGCUGAGACGCGAAAGCGUGGGGAGCAAAC